Non-coding RNA from Cucumis melo (muskmelon), 85 nucleotides. NCBI's taxonomy places the organism in Eukaryota, Viridiplantae, Streptophyta, Magnoliopsida, Cucurbitales, Cucurbitaceae. The record is from Rfam.
UGGCAGUGAUGAGCUUAUGAGAUUGUCAUGCACCACUCUGAUGAUAUGUGCUGAUAAGUUUCUCUAAACCCAUUGAUCUGAGCCU